AGAGUUUGAUCCUGGCUCAGAUUGAACGCUGGCGGCAGGCUUAACACAUGCAAGUCGAGCGGAGAUGAGGUGCUUGCACCUUAUCUUAGCGGCGGACGGGUGAGUAAUGCUUAGGAAUCUGCCUAUUAGUGGGGGACAACAUUCCGAAAGGAAUGCUAAUACCGCAUACGUCCUACGGGAGAAAGCAGGGGAUCUUCGGACCUUGCGCUAAUAGAUGAGCCUAAGUCGGAUUAGCUAGUUGGUGGGGUAAAGGCCUACCAAGGCGACGAUCUGUAGCGGGUCUGAGAGGAUGAUCCGCCACACUGGGACUGAGACACGGCCCAGACUCCUACGGGAGGCAGCAGUGGGGAAUAUUGGACAAUGGGGGGAACCCUGAUCCAGCCAUGCCGCGUGUGUGAAGAAGGCCUUAUGGUUGUAAAGCACUUUAAGCGAGGAGGAGGCUACUGAGACUAAUACUCUUGGAUAGUGGACGUUACUCGCAGAAUAAGCACCGGCUAACUCUGUGCCAGCAGCCGCGGUAAUACAGAGGGUGCGAGCGUUAAUCGGAUUUACUGGGCGUAAAGCGUGCGUAGGCGGCUUUUUAAGUCGGAUGUGAAAUCCCCGAGCUUAACUUGGGAAUUGCAUUCGAUACUGGGAAGCUAGAGUAUGGGAGAGGAUGGUAGAAUUCCAGGUGUAGCGGUGAAAUGCGUAGAGAUCUGGAGGAAUACCGAUGGCGAAGGCAGCCAUCUGGCCUAAUACUGACGCUGAGGUACGAAAGCAUGGGGAGCAAACAGGAUUAGAUACCCUGGUAGUCCAA
RNAcentral lists this ribosomal RNA (796 nucleotides) under uncultured bacterium. RNAcentral's name for it is "bacterial SSU rRNA". It matches the Rfam family "Bacterial small subunit ribosomal RNA", at positions 8 to 798 of the family's 1533-position model. The record is from RNAcentral.